Non-coding RNA from Salmo salar (Atlantic salmon), 54 nucleotides. The record is from Rfam. NCBI's taxonomy places the organism in Eukaryota, Metazoa, Chordata, Actinopteri, Salmoniformes, Salmonidae.
UGUGCUCAUUACUGUAAGUCGCUCUGGAUAAGAGCGUCUGCUAAAUGAUGUGAA